RNAcentral lists this ribosomal RNA (696 nucleotides) under uncultured Fusobacteriota bacterium. RNAcentral describes it as "bacterial SSU rRNA". It matches the Rfam family "Bacterial small subunit ribosomal RNA", at positions 56 to 776 of the family's 1533-position model. Lineage: Bacteria; Fusobacteriati; Fusobacteriota. The record is from RNAcentral.
UGCAAGUCGACUCGAGUCUUCGGACUUGGGUGGCGCACGGGUGAGUAACGCGUAAAGAACUUGCCUCUUAGACCGGGACAACAUCUGGAAACGGAUGCUAAUACCGGAUAUUAUGGUUUUUUCGCAUGGAGGAAUCAUGAAAGCUAGAUGCGCUAAGAGAGAGCUUUGCGUCCCAUUAGCUAGUUGGUGAGGUAACGGCCCACCAAGGCAAUGAUGGGUAGCCGGCCUGAGAGGGUGAACGGCCACAAGGGGACUGAGACACGGCCCUUACUCCUACGGGAGGCAGCAGUGGGGAAUAUUGGACAAUGGACCACAAGUCUGAUCCAGCAAUUCUGUGUGCACGAUGACGUUUUUCGGAAUGUAAAGUGCUUUCAGUCGGGAAGAAGUCAGUGACGGUACCGACAGAAGAAGCGACGGCUAAAUACGUGCCAGCAGCCGCGGUAAUACGUAUGUCGCAAGCGUUAUCCGGAUUUAUUGGGCGUAAAGCGCGUCUAGGCGGCAAGGAAAGUCUGAUGUGAAAAUGCGGAGCUCAACUCCGUAUGGCGUUGGAAACUGCCUUACUAGAGUACUGGAGAGGUAGGCGGAACUACAAGUGUAGAGGUGAAAUUCGUAGAUAUUUGUAGGAAUGCCGAUGGGGAAGCCAGCCUACUGGACAGAUACUGACGCUAAAGCGCGAAAGCGUGGGUAGCAAACAGG